UAGACUGUCUCGAGGGUGCCUACGGAGCUGGCUGCACCUCAGAAUGUCAGUGUGUGGAGGAGAAUACCCUGGAAUGCAGUGCCAAAAAUGGUAGUUGCACCUGCAAAUCUGGUUACCAAGGCAACAGAUGCCAGAAAGAUGGCCUCUGGGGACCAGAGGGCUGGUUCUCCUCUGCACCCUGUGAAAAUGGAGGUCAGUGCAACAAAAAAACUGGAAAUUGUGACCUCACUCCUGAUUACACAAGAAAAUCCUGUACCAUAUUGAGAUGCAUUUCCCUUACCAAUCUGGCUCUCAGCAGGCGGUCCAGCCUGAUGAAGUAUCAGCAAAAUGUCAGCUCCCACAGAGAAGUGUGACAGAGGCAACAGUGCAGCAGUGACAGGCCUUUCAAAAAGCUAUUGUGCAAAUUCAGUUUUAAAAUAGGGAUGUGGUUGAGGACUGAUGGGUAUUUCAUUACCAAUGCGUUCAUCUCCCCCAUCGUCCAAGAGAAUGAGAGGGGGUCAUGGUGCAGCUGAUAUAAAGCCAUUAAGUUGAGUAGCGGUUGAUUUGGUCUGUAGAAGAUUUGUCUUCCUAUCUGUAUUUUCGAAAAGUUAAUAUUCAAAUUAGCUGUCAUUUUUAGUACAUACCUGCUAAAGGGGGGCCAAGAAUUGUUCUGUUUUCUACUUGAUCACCUUCCAGUGUCUCAAUUAGAUCAUUAAAAACAAAGUUAAUCAUGUCA
Molecule: small RNA, 715 nt
Filed under: Pan troglodytes (chimpanzee)
Lineage: Eukaryota; Metazoa; Chordata; Mammalia; Primates; Hominidae
Description: processed transcript
Source: RNAcentral